UUUUGAAGUUCCUUAUGUAUC
Molecule: non-coding RNA, 21 nt
Filed under: Caenorhabditis elegans
Lineage: Eukaryota; Metazoa; Nematoda; Chromadorea; Rhabditida; Rhabditidae
Source: RNAcentral